This 23003-nucleotide long non-coding RNA is filed under the name Nicotiana tabacum (common tobacco). Its description in RNAcentral is "long non-coding RNA (NTAB_LNC001275)". Lineage: Eukaryota; Viridiplantae; Streptophyta; Magnoliopsida; Solanales; Solanaceae. The record is from RNAcentral.
CUUAAUGAUAAAGCUAACUACUAAACUAUUAGUAUUGACUAUAAACCUAAAACAAAGGCCAUGUAUGCUUCAACACCAGACAUAGCUUAGCCAUCAUUCAGGCAAAACCUGUUCUAAUUUGAAGCUCAUACUUAAACCAAUUAUUAUAUGAGAAUGUCUAUGAUUACAAUUAAGAAAUAACCUGUGGGUCAAGCCAUUAAAACUACAACUCAAACUAUCUUAUGGCCAGAUCCACAGUUAUUGAACCUCAAAUCCAGCAUUAGACUUUAAUUUAUCAUAAACCAUGAAAAAAAGACUCGAACUUCAGGAAUUAAUACUCAAACUAGGCAACAUAUGAUUAUGUACAAUACACAUGUUGAAUUCUAGUGGAAAUAGGUGAAAUGCAAAUCAUUCUAAUCGUACAUAACUGCUAAAGCACAUUCCAGCUAUAACCAAACUUCAUGUAAUUGCUAUGUCAAAACCAAACAUUCAAAUUAUGUUAAAAAAGAACCAACAAACAACAGGCUUAACAAACUGCAACAGACAGUUCACAUUUCAAUACAAUUCAAAUUAGAAUACAAGUGAUAAAUGUGUACCUAAGCUUGAAAAUGAAACUGAACAUUUGCCAAAUAAAGAUCAAAGAAAUCAACUACUAAGUGAUCUCACAAUAGGUCAACAACAGAAGAUAGGAUGACCGCUUGAAUCCCAGAAUGAUCAACAGAAAAAACAUCAGCAACUAGAACGACAACAAAACCCCAUAAUUUUGACUAAAACCAACUUUAAAUGGCAGGGAUCAUGAACUAGGAAACCAUGGAGCUAUUUCUGUUUUCAGAUUCACUUGGAAAACUCAGAAAAGGGAAGAAAAAUCAGUGUGAAAAUCAAACUCUUUUCCAGAAUUCCUUGGUAUUUCAAAAAUGCCUUUUUAAAAUUGCCUAAUCUUGAUGAUAGUCUGUUUUGAGUGAGUGAUGGCCUAUUCUUUAUACAGAAUGCAUAAAGAUAGCAUAAAAAGGAAUAUUCUACCCUAAAAUUCUGAAAUGUCAGAUAGUACAGCAUCUUUGACAUUUGUAUGUCCUUUUUUCAGCCCAAAUCCAGUAUUGCCAUGCUAAGGAUGGAGACAGCUGUGCAAAAUCUAGUACCUUCUGAUAUUUUAUCUAGGGUUUGCCCAUUCUUACCUUCAAAUUAACCACUUUUAGUUCUGUUUAAUACAAAUAGCCACCUCAAUGUCCUAGGCUCUAAUUUUUACUGCCCAAAAUGUGUAACAACUCGACCGAUCAUUUUGAGAUUUUGCGCUUUGAUUGCCAGUUCUCAUGAAUGACUUGCCCCGUAUGGUGUAUUAUGACUUAUGUAAAUCAUUGGUUUGGGUUUUUAGGGAAAUCGGAACGAAUUUGGAAGAACAAUUCUCAGUUUGUAGCUUGAAAUUUGAAAGGUUUGACCAAGAUUUGACUUGUUUGUAUAUGAUCUUGGAUCAGAUAUUUUAGGUUUUGGUUAGCUCCUUUAGGUGAUUUGGGACUUAGGAGCAUGAUCGGAAAGCAUUUUGGAAGUCCGUGGAAGGUUUUGGCUUGAAUCGGCGAAAUUGAGAUUUCGGCGUUUUCCAGUUGAUAGGCGAGAUUUUGAUAUAGAGGUCAGAAUGGAAUUCUGAGAGCUACAGUAUCUUCGUUGUGUCAUUUGGGAAGUGUGUGUAAAAUUUUAGGUCAUUCGGACGUGGUUUGGUUGGAUUUUUGAUCAAAAUCGUAUUUCAGAAGAUUUUUGAAACUUAGGCUUGAAUCCGAUGUGAAUUGUUAUAUUCGAUGUUGUUUGAGGUGUUUUGAUAAUUGGGACAAGUUUGACUAAGGUAUUGGGUUAUGUGUGUGCUUUUGGUUGAGGUGUCGGAGGGGGGGGCCUCGGGGUGAUUUCGGAUGGUUAACGAGAAGAUUUAAAACUUGGGAAAUUGCAGAAAAUUUGCCGCUUCUGGUGUUUUUGCACCUGCGGUUUGGGGUCUGUAGGUGUGGCACCACAGAUGUGAGGGAGAAGCCACAGAAGCGAUUUUGGAGGGGAUUGUCAGGAAACCAUAAAUGCGAUAUUGGGGGCCGCAUCUGUAGAACCGCAAAUGCGUAAGAAGGAUCACAGAUGCGGCAGUGGCCGACUUUAGUGAUUUCCGCAGAAGCGGAGUGUUAACCACAAAUGCAGUAUCACAGAGCGGAUUUUGGACCGCAGAUACGGACAUGCCUGGGCAGAGCAUAUAAGUUAGACCAUUUCGGGAAAUUGGGUUAUUUCACCAUUUUUGACUUUGGCUUGAGAGCUUUUGGACGAUUUGAAAGAGGGAUUUCAAGGGAACCUCAUUAAGGUAAGGAUUUUGGACCUAAAACACAUUUCUAUGGUAGUAUUUCAUGGAUUAAGGCUGCAAUUAAAUGAAUUAAAGGGCUAAAAAUGGAGGAUUAGGGCAUGAGUUAAGAGGCCUUAAAUUGAGGAUUUAAAGGGUCAUUUGAACUCCGAUUUUGGCAUUAUUGAUAUGCAUAGACUUAUGGGAAGAUGAGAAAUCAAUUGAUGUAAAAAAUUCUGAGUUUCAAGAAGUGGGCCCGGGGCUCGGGUUUUGGCCAAUUUCAGGAUUUUUGGUAUUUUUCGAUUGUUUUUCCUUGGGCUUUGUUCCCUUAGCCUAGUGUGACUUAUUCGUUCUGAUUUAUUUAUAGAUUCGACGUGCGUGGUAGCCGAUUCGAGGGUAAAGGUGUCGCGAGUUAGAGAUUUAACCGGUUCGAGGUGAGUAAUGAUUGUAAACGAUGCUCUCAGGGUUUGAAUCCCCAAAUUGCUUAUCGUAGUGCUAUAUUGAGGUGAGGUACACACUUGAUGACGAGCGUGGGGUCGUGCACUAUUGGGGAUUGUGACUUGGUCCGUCCCGAUUGAUGAUUUUUCCGCGUAUUUGAUUGAAAACUAUUUGUUAUCAUCAUUUUUUGGGUUGAAUGCCAUAUUUGGGCCUAAUGCCCGCUAAGUGAACCCUUCAAGGAUUUUUGUUGAUAUUUCCUCACUGUUUUGACUUUAUACUUGAACUCAAUUGUGUUAUUUUCCACUGUUUUCAAAACUCAGCCAAGUUUAUUUUGCUUUAACACUUGAAAUGAUAUUUCAAAUAAUAUUUUGGGCUGAGCAUCAUGUUUUACUAUUUCCCGAGUGACUUAUGUGAUUUUGAUUGAGUAAGGCCGAGUGUCUGUAUGGUGAAGAUACUUUUGGAUCGGGCUGCACGCUGCAGAAGUGAGAUACUGAUUUGAUUAUGAAGCCGAGGGCCUGAGAUAUGUACGCCACGAGGUGGCUUGUUGAUUGAUAUGAGGCUGAGGCCUAGAUUUGAUGCCACGAGAUGGCUUGAUAUUGCGCUUGGGUCAUAAAGGGCCCCUCCCGGAGUCUGUACACCCCUAGUGAGUGCGGGUACCCAUUGUGAUAUGAGAUUGAGCCCGAGGGGCUGGUACUGUUCUGAGAUAUUGCCUGAGGGGCGAACUUCUAUUUUUUUACUUUAUCUUAAUUAUUUGUCAAUUUACCUGUUUACUGGUUGAAAGAGGGUUUAACUUGACUUUUCAUUGUCUUACUACUUUUAAAUGGUUUUACUUCUUCAUUAUAGAAUGCCUUGUUCCUUACGUGUUUUCUUACUUGCAGUCUUUAUUUACAUUUUUUACUCACUGAGUUGAAGUACUCACUUUACUCUUUGCGCCUCUGUGUGCAGAUUCAGGCGUUAUUGGUUCCGCUCUUGAGUGCUGAUUCCUCUAGUUCCAGGCGGCUUUCGGAUAUUACGAGGUAGUUGUUGGCAUCCGCAGCCCCGUGUCUCUACUCUCUUAUAAUUUUUAUUUCUUUUCCAACAUUUGUAUUAGUAUUGGAUUUAGCAGACUUGUGUAUGGUCUAUAGAUGCUCGUGACUUGUGACACCCCGAUUAGGGCUGUGUCGGGUUGGAUUCCAUUUUUGUUAUCUAUGUUUCCACUACUUAUUAUCAUUAAAUCAUGUUUUAUAUUGCCUUUAUAUUGUUUGAUUGCUUUAACAAGUGAAUUGAGUUUAAUUGGCUGAUCUUGUCUUCACGAGAGGCGUCAUCACGACCGGGUUCGGGGUUAGGGUCGUGACAAGUUGGUAUCAGAGCCUAGGUUACAUAGGUCUCAUGAGUUAUGAGCAGGUUUAGUAGAGUCUCGCGGAUAGGUACGGAGACUUCUGUAUUUAUCCUCGAGAGUCUGCAGAACCUUUAGGAAAACAUCACAUUCUUGAAUUAUUAUCGUUUGUCCUUGAUUCAGCUUGAAAUGUAACUUUUUGAAUUCCUUCCACGCAUUCGUAUACGUGCAUGAGCGCUCAGUAUUAGAUGUGCAUUGAUGGCUUGUGAAUCCCUGAUCGAGGGGUGAUAUGUGAUCUUUGUGAGUUGAUGUUGAGCCAGUCUGGAGAACUUGAGGCCGGUUCUUUGCCUAUGGCUUGAGCACCGAGGGGUGAUUGUGUGAGCAAGUGUUUUUGAACUUAUAUGUUUGGUAUUGUCCCUAUUAAUAGAAGUGACGGCUGGAUACUAUGUGAUGAGUAUGUUGGUGUUGUGAGAUGUAUCCAUACAAAUUGGAAGUGACGAGAAGGGUCUGCUGGAGGAUAAAAGAACUAUUAGGUGCUUGGAUUCGAUCUUGAUUCGAGGUAUAGCCCCGAGUUAUGGGCGUGUGAAGAAUCUUGUUCAUGUUUCCUAGUUGAAAGUGAAGUAAAUUUCAUGUUGCGGUAUGCGUUAAGACUCAAGAAAACUAAGUGACUGCGUACAGUUUAUGACGGUGGAAGGUAUACAGAAAUGUUAAUUGGGGGCAAAGCAGGUGGGUUAUAUCCUGCAAAGUAUUCUGUGGUUGUGUGAUCCUUAUGUGACUGUUAGAAGAUCUCAUGUACAAGUGAAAUAUAAGUGUUGAAAUUUGAAUUUUGGGUCGCUUAAGAGAGUGGGCUUAACAGUUGCGAGAGUGAAUGCGAAAUUUGUAGAAGAGUUAAAAUUCUUGAUGAUCUGUGUUUUUACAAGCUUAUAAAGGAUUUGAGUUUAACCUUACUAUGGUAUUAUGACAUCAAUAGAGUAUAUGCGUUAUUGAGUGUAUUUUGAUCUAUGGCUUUGAGCCAAGUGGGGGAGUCUGCGGUUGAGUAGGUGAUUGCACGACUAGGUGCUAUGAGAGUUCUAGUUUGAGGCGUUCGGGUGAAUCAGUUAUGGCCCGCGGAUAUUGAGAUCGGGGAUGACUCGAGUAAAGGAAACUUCUUAACAAAGGAUAUAGUAUGCUUCAUAGGUGUGUAAGAAUCACAGAAUGUCUCGAGUUGUUGGUAAAGGAUGCUCAGUGGAUAGAGUAGGAAGUUGCUUGGUUGUAUUGGAAUGAGGUUACAUUCUGCGAUGUCAGAGUGCUAGUGAGGCACGGGUUGUCGGUUCAUUUGAUCAGGCUAAUUNNNNNNNNNNNNNNNNNNNNNNNNNNNNNNNNNNNNNNNNNNNNNNNNNNNNNNNNNNNNNNNNNNNNNNNNNNNNNNNNNNNNNNNNNNNNNNNNNNNNNNNNNNNNNNNNNNNNNNNNNNNNNNNNNNNNNNNNNNNNNNNNNNNNNNNNNNNNNNNNNNNNNNNNNNNNNNNNNNNNNNNNNNNNNNNNNNNNNNNNNNNNNNNNNNNNNNNNNNNNNNNNNNNNNNNNNNNNNNNNNNNNNNNNNNNNNNNNNNNNNNNNNNNNNNNNNNNNNNNNNNNNNNNNNNNNNNNNNNNNNNNNNNNNNNNNNNNNNNNNNNNNNNNNNNNNNNNNNNNNNNNNNNNNNNNNNNNNNNNNNNNNNNNNNNNNNNNNNNNNNNNNNNNNNNNNNNNNNNNNNNNNNNNNNNNNNNNNNNNNNNNNNNAUUCUAUAUAUCAUUGUUUGGAAGGUAAUGGCUCGGAAUUCGUAGGAGGUCUCUUCAGGGUAAGUAUUUUGAACUUGGUGCUUUUGGGGAUAUCUAAGAAAGUAUUCAGCGGCUUAUGAGCCUUAGAUGGUGUGGCUUUAUGCUUGGGUCUUGUGUGAUGAGUCUGGGUUGAGGAAUCGUGAUGGUACAGUAAGAAGGAGUAUCAAGUUGAAGGUAAAUCAGAAGGAAACUCGGAUAGAUGGUUUAGCUUAGUAGUGGGUCGGAUCGAGAUGGUAAGGAUAUGAUUAACUCUUUGGAUUCUUAUGGGGUAAUGAGUCUCUGCAGGUGUUUCGAGGCAAUUCUUUUGGGUUUUAGAGUCAUUCAUAGCUCGGUUGAGUUAGAAGGGUUCAGUCCUGAUGAGUUAGGGUUGUGCAAAUGGAAUUCAAGGAGUUAUUAAUGGUUCCUACCUUGGUUGGAAACGUAUAAUUUACUAUUGACAUGUAGAGCAUGGGAUGUAUAGUGGUUCUUUUCUAGAUGGGAUCAAUGGGAAGUUCUUGGCUAGUGGAAUGCAUAGUUGCUUGCGGUUCGGAAUGGAUAUGAAAUUCUCAUAGUUAUCCUAGAAUGGUAUGAGAUAUGCGGUAUAUUGUAAAUGAUUGAGAAUUACGUGUGUGAGGUUGCGGUUCGAUUCUGAAAGAAAGGUCAUAAAAUUCUUCGGUAGCAUAGGCAGUUACAGAUGAUUAGAGGAAUAAUCUUUAGAUGAUUAAGGAAAUGGUAUUUCUAAUUGGAGUGAUUUAACGAGGGUAUAUGUUUCAGAAAAGGCAAUAAGAUUAAGUUGAUGGUACUUCGGUGAUAUUGCAACACUUUCUUGUUAGAUCGACGGAUGAUAUUCGAGUUUGCUUGAUGGAACAAGGGAAUUUUACAAUAUCUUUCAUGGAAUGAUUUGGUAUUUGAGUUGUGGUAUGCAUUCAGACGGCGGAAUUGGGAUAAGGUGUGUUGAUUCAUGUGCCAUAUGGAUUUGGAGACGGCAAGUUCUCAUAUUCAGGCUAUGUGGUGGUUGUGAGUCGUGUGUAUCGGCACUGUUUAGUGACUAUCGGGAUUUGGAGACCCGAGCUGAUCUUUUGUUGCUUGGUAUGUUAGAUUUUGGAUGUGAUAUUGGGUUCAGAUUGUUUGUCUCUAUAUGGUGUCAUUCUAGACUAUUGCACUAAGGCGACGCUGUUGGCUAUGCCGAAAAUGUCACGGAUUAAGUGGCAUGGUUCAACGGAUUAUGUCCUAGUGGAGUGGUUUUAUAUUUCGAAGACCCAUCAGACGACUGGGAGAGAUUGUUUUUCUUAGUUAGGUUUUCGUGAUAGAUGUUAGUGCAGAGGCUUCCACCAUUGAUUCAGUUCCGGUGGUGAGGGACUUUUCGAAAGUGUUUCUUGUGGCCGGGCAUGCCGCCGGGCAAGGUUGUUGAUUUCUGUAUUGAUUUGAUGUUUGGUAGUGUGUAUCAUAUGGCAUCGACAGAGUUAUAGGGAUAGAAGGAGCAGCUUUAGGACUUACUUGAUAAGGAGUUCGUUGGCAGGCCAAUGUAGAUGUGUGUUCUAACUUGAGUCGGCUUGGUUGGCACCAAAUUGUAUUGCUGAAUGAUGUGUUGAUUCGAUUGUUAUUGAGCUUAUCAGUAAUCUCGGGAGGUCUAUAAGUUACCUUUCUAUGUUGCGAGGUGUAUAAUUUGUAAGUUAUGGGCACAUAUGGUGCGGUUCUAUUGGGGUUUCAUAAUGGAAGUCGAGCGGGAAGAGUGACUGGGUAUUGCUCGGUGAAUGGCGUAUCAGUUAUGUCUUUUUGGGUUAGUGUCGUCUAUGUUAUUUGCUUCAUUGUGGGUAUGAUGAUUGCUUUGGUUCCAGACAUCUAAUUGUGCGCGGUUGUCGAUUUUGAGCAUAGUGACUUAAGGUGGUUCAUGUGGAGCAGUGUUGGAUAGGGUCGCAUAUCGCAGCAAUGUUAUGUGGAGGUAUGACCUUGCGGGUUAGAUUCAUGUGUUCUGUUCCUAUGAUGCGAUUUCAGCAUGUUGGAAGGAUAGUAUCGAGCUUCGGUUCAGAAAUUUGCUGUUGUAUUUGCCAAGGAAGAAGUGGCUUCAUAAAUGGUUGAUCUGGGAAAUGGUUAUGGCUUACCGCGUAUCUUAGUGAUCAAUGGCAGUAUAUGAAAGUGUUGGGAUGAGACUUUAGUUGAUAAGAGUUUUCCUAUCGGUAUGCGGAUGUUGUGUGCAGCUGAUGUGGUUAAAAGUUAUCACUACNNNNNNNNNNNNNNNNNNNNNNNNNNNNNNNNNNNNNNNNNNNNNNNNNNNNNNNNNNNNNNNNNNNNNNNNNNNNNNNNNNNNNNNNNNNNNNNNNNNNNNNNNNNNNNNNNNNNNNNNNNNNNAGUGGAAAUGUGGUUCUAUGGUUUAUGGACUAGGAUGGAUUGUGAACUUUCAGUCAUAUUAUGUUAUCAGACCUAUGUGAGAUAGGGUGACAUGGGAUCCCUCCCCCCCGGGUAUAUGCAUGGUAAGGUUAUCCAGCAAUUGGUUGGCUUUUAGAACAACUCUAGGCACGUUCGAGAAUGAACAUAUGUUUAAGUAGAGGAAGAUGUAAUGACCCGACUGGUCGUUUUGAGAUUUUGCACUUCGAUCUCCAGUUCUCGGGCAUGACUUGCCCCGUGUGGUGUAAUAUGACUUAUGUAAGUCGUUGGUUUGGGUUUUCAGGGAAAUCAUAACGAAUUUGGAAGAACAAUUCUCAGUUUGUAGCUUGAAAUUUGAAAGGUUUGACCAAGAUUUAACUUGUUUGUAUAUAGGAUCAGAAAUUUUAUGAUUUGGUUAGAUCCGUUGGGUGAUUUGGGACUUAGAUCAUGAUCGGAAUGCAUUUUGAAAGUCCGUGGAAGGUUUAGACUUGAAUUGGAGAAAUUGAGAUUUCGGCGUUUUCCGGUUUAUAGGCGAGAUUUUGAUAUAGAGGUCAGAAUGGAAUUCUGAGAGUUGCAAUAGCUUCGUUGUGCCAUUUGGGAUGUGUGUGUAAAAUUUCAGGUCAUUGGGACGUGGUUUGGUUGGGUUUUUUAUCAAAAGCGUAUUUCAGAAGAUUUUUGAAACUUAGGCUUGAAUCCGAUGUGAUUUGGUACAUUCGAUGUUGUUUGAGGUGUUUUGAUGAUUGGGACAAGUUUGAAUAAGGUAUUGGUUUAUGUGUGUGCUUUUGGUUGAGGUCCCGAGGAGCCUCGGGAUGAUUUCGGAUGGUUAACGAGAAGAUUUAAAACUUGGGAGAUUGCAGAAAAUUUGCUACUUCUGGUGUUUUUGCACCUGCGGUUUAGGGCCCGCAUGUGCGGCGCCGCAGAUGCGAGGGAGAAGCCACAGAAGCGGUUUUGGAGGGGAUUGUCAGGAAACCGCAAAGCGGUUGUGGGGGCCGCAAAUGCGGAAGAAGGAUCGCAGAUGCGGCAGUGGCCGGCUUUUGUGAUUUCUGCAGAAGUAGAGUGUUAACCGCAAAUGCGGUACCGCAGAAGCAGAUUUUGACCGCAUAUGCAGGUAUGCCUGGGCAGAGCAUAUAAGUUAGACCAUUUCGCGAAAUUGGGUUAUUUCACCAUUUUUGACUUCGACUUGAGAGCUUUUGGACGAUUUGGAAGAGGGAUUUCAAGGGAACCUCGUUAAGGUAAGGAUUUUGGACCUAAAACACAUUUCUAUGGUAGUAUUUCAUGGAUUAAGGAUGAAAUUAAAUGAAUUAAAGGGCUAAAAAUGAAGGAUUAGAGCUUUAGUUAAGAGGCCUUAAAUUGAGAAUUUGAAGGGUCAUUUGAACUCCGAUUUUGGUAUUUUGGAUAUGCAUAGACUCGUGGGAAGAUGAGGAAUCUAUUGAUGUAAAAUUUCAGAGUUUCGAGAAGUGGGCCCGGGACUCGGAUUUUGGCCAAUUUCGGGAUUUUUGGUAUUUUCGGAUGUUUUUUCUUGGGCUUUGUUCCCUUAGCAUAUUGUGACGUAUUCGUUCUGAUUUUGGAUAGAUUCGACGUGCGUAGAGGCCGAUUCGAGGGGCAAAGGCAUCGCGAGUUAAAGAUUUAACCAGUUCGAGGUGAGUAAUGACUGUAAAUGAUGCUCUGAGGGUUUGAAACCCCGGAUUGCACAUCGUAGUGCUAUAUUGAGGUGAGGCAGACGCUUGAUGACGAGCGUGGGGCCAUGCACUAUCGGAGAUUGUGACUUGGUCCAUCCCGAUUGAUGAUUUUACUGUGUAUUUGAUUGAAAACUAUUUGCUAUCAUCAUUAUUUGAGUUGAAUGCCAUAUUUGGGCCUAGUGCCAGCUAAGUGAACCCUUCGGGGAUUUUUGUUGAUAUUUCCUCAUUGUUUUGACUUUAUACUUGAACUCAGUCAUGUUAUUUUCCACUGUUUUCAAAACUUAGCCAAGUUUAUUUUGCUUUAACACUUGAAAUGAUAUUUAAAAUAAUAUUUGGGCCGAGCAUCAUGUUUUACUGUUGUCCAAGCAGCUUAUGUGAUUUUUACCGAGUAAGGCCGAGUGCCUGUAUGUUGAGGAUACUUUUGGAUUGGGUUGCACGCUGCAGCAGUGAGAUACUAAUUUGAUUAUGAGGCCGAGAGCCUGAGAUAUGUAUUCCACGAGGUGGCUUGUUGAUUGAUAUGAGGCCGAGGGCCUAGAUUUGAUGCCACGAGAUGACUUGAUAUUGUGCUUGGGCCGUAAAGGGCCCUUCCCGGAGUUUGUGCACCCCCAGUGAGUGCGGGUAUCUAUUGUGAUGUGAGAUUGAGGCCGAGGGGCUAGUACUGUUCUGAGAUAUUGCCCGAGGGGCGAACUUCUAUUUGUUUACUUUAUCUUAAUUAUCUGUCAAUUUACCUGUUUACUGGUUGAAAGAGGGUUUAACUUGACUUUUCACUAUCUUACUGCUUUUAAAUGGUUUUACUACUUCAUUAUAGAAUGUCUUGUGCCUUACGUGUUUUCUUACUUUUAGUCUUUAUUUACAUUUGUUACUCACUGAGUUGGAGUACUAACUUUACUCCCUGUACCCCUGUGUGCAGAUUCAGGCCUUGUUGGUUCUGCUCCUAGGUGAUGAUUCCUCCAGUUCCAGGCGGCUUACGGAGAUUACGAGGUAUCUGUUGGCGUCCGCAGCCCCGUGUCUCUACUCUCUUAUCAGUUUUAUCUCCUUUCGAACAUUUGUAUUAGUAUUGGAUUUAGCAGACUUGUGUAUGGUCUAUAGAUGCUCGUUACUUGUGACACUCCAGCUAGGGCUAUGUCGGGUAGGAUUCCGAUUUUGUUAUCUAUGUUUCCGCUAUUUAUUAUCAUUAAAUUAUGUUUUAGACUGCCUUUAUAUUGUUUGACUCCUUUAACAAGUGAUUUGAGUUUAAUUGGCUGGCCUUGUCUUCACGAGAGGCGCCAUCACGAUCGGGUUCGGGGUUAGGGGCGUGACAGAAUGCCCCAUUUUCAAAUCCCAUCUGCCCUUUAGCCUUCAGUAAUUACAAAACAACUAACAAAAGAACAUAUAAGUUCAGCAACAGUCUCAAAUUAACCAUUUCCAACCCCAAACGCCCCCUUAACUAAUACCCCUCAACUGUCCAAUACAGAAAAAUAACAAAACAACUUAUUAAAUAAAUCUUGCUAAAAUGUUAAACUGGUUCAGUUAACUUAAACAAAAUAAUUAACAUGUUAAUCCUAAAUCCACUGACUUAGUCGACUCGAUUAAACAAUCCAAAACAAAAUUAAAACCUAACUGAUAAUUCAAAACCAAAAGAAAAAAGAGAUAAAGUAAUGAGAGAAGGAAGAAUAUACUGAUUUUGGACGGGAAUGAGUGGAGAAGAAACGAUGACAGCGAUGAAUCUUUGGCUAGUCAGCGGGGACUCUACCAGAAUCUGGCACACUUCGAAAUUGGCCAAAAAUGAUACUAAUCGAUUUUUCUUAGAAUAAAUUUUGUCAUGAAUCAAGCUUUGAAAACCAUUGAAAUCAGAAAGAGGAACGAAUUAGGUUUUUUUUUAUUUCUUUUGGAAACUCAAAUUUGAAAUUAAAGCAAAUGGGUGGGGAUUUUGGGGAAAUUGAUAGUGAGAUAGUGAUGAAGGGAGUAAGGAGAUGGCCUGGUGAGAUUUUGGGUUGAUAUGGAGUUGGUCAGCCGCCGGUAGGCGAUUUCCGAUCGACGGACCACUGUGGUGGACGGCGGGGUAAGAGAGAGAUGGGGGAGACGGGCUGGGGUGUUGGGGUUGAGUUCUGAGGGUAGGGGGUCUUGUUAGGACUGUUAAAUAGUGUAAGGGAGUAGGAUUGUGAGUCGUUGGAUCAAAACGAUCCAACAGUUGGGAUGGGAAGAGGUCAAAACGUGGUCAUUUUUGGGUAAGUGGGAAUUGAACCGGGUAGGCUUGGUUUUUUGGGCUGGGUUUGAGACGGAUUUGGGUUACUUAAUUGGGUAAGUUUUACAUUAAACCCCCUUCUUUUCAAUUCCUUUUCUUAUUUCCUUUUUCUUUGUUUUUUUCUUUUUCUUUAAUUAAAAAUCCUAAAUCAAAUUCCUAAAUUAAUCUAAAUUGUAAAAUUAAGCUAAUUAUCCAAUUAUAAUAAUUAUAACAAUUAGUUGAUCCUAAAUUAAAAGAGAAAAAUUACUAAUCUAAAAUUAAAAGCUAAAAUGUAAAAAUGAGCCAAUUUUUGUGAUUUUCAUUUUAAUAAAGCAAUUAAUCCUAAUAAUAUGAAAACAAAAUCUAAAUGCAAUGCAUGUUGUUUUAAACAUUUUUGAGGCAUUUUCAUGAUUUUUUUUAUAAAAAAUUAAACGUGCACAAAAAUGCAAACAAUUAAGAAAAUCCUACAAAAAAUCCUAUAAAAUGGCAAAUAAUUAAGAAAAAAUCUAUUUCUUUGAUUCUAUAGGAGUAUUUUGAAUAGGGCAAAAAUCACAUGCUCACAGCUGCCUCUCUUUGCUCGAAAACACGAAGGGUUUUCGGGCAAAGAUAGAAUGAGCAAUUACGAGCGAUUUUUUUGCCCGUUUGAAACUCCAUGGGAAGCAUUUUUUUGGAAAAAGUCUGAUAGAACCUUGCUUCGGAGGUUGCCAACAUAUCGUUGGCUAUAAAAGAAUCAGGUCAGUGUAGUUUUGGAAAUUUUGGUAGCUGGGACUACCGAGAAACUGUGAUUUCACUAUUGUUGAUGUUGUUUCUGCUUGUUGAACUCCUUAUUACACCAAAAUAAAGAUAAAAGGCUAAACUAGCUAAACCUAUCAACUAUGAGUUACAAGAUUCCUAUCUAUAAACCUUCUGAAGCUUGAUUUUGAGUCUUGGCUAGUUCUUACUGCGGACUCUGAUCUAAAUCUUGAUGCUCGUUAGCUGCAACCGCUGGUUCAUUUUUCUUCAACUUUUCGGAUCAAGGUGGGACAUGCAAAGCUUGUGACUUCGAUCAUAUCUUGAGCAGUCCGUAUCUUUUUUCCGCUUAUACACUUAGAGUUCACUUUUUCCAUUUCUUUUUUUUCCUUUAUUCUAGAUCGAGACUUCUUCUUUUGGUCGUCUCGACACAUGCGCCUCAAGCUAAAAACCUGUUCAGGCACCAAAACAAACAAACGAACGAAAUUUUUCUACCCUAGUUUUCACUAGAAAAUUUUCGGGAGUUAUUGUAACAAAAAUCUAAACUUCUUUAUUGAAAGCAAUAAAAUCAGAAUUGUGUAUCCUUGAAAAAAAGAUAUUAGGGAGUGGAGCCCUAUAUCUAAAAUGAAAUCAAAUGGGCAUCGGAGGCCCUAAGUUGGAAAGAUUACCAGGUUAUGCUGGCAUCAACUAGGGAGUGGGACCCUAUACUGGAAAAGACUACUAGGUUAUGCUGGCAUAGGCUAGGGAGUGGGACCCUAUAUUAGAAAGGAUUAUCAGGUUAUGCUGGCAAGGUUAGGGAAUAGGAUCCUAUGUUGGGAAAAAAUUACCAAGUUAUGCUGGAAAAGUCAUCGGGUUAUGCCGGAAAAGUCAUCGGGUUAUGCGGGGGAAGUCAUCGGGUUAUGCCAUAAAGGUCUUCGGGUUAUGCCGGGGAAGGUCAUCGGGUUAUGUCGGAAAUGUCCUCGGAUUAUGUCGGGGAAGGUCAUUGGGUUAUGCCGUAAAGGUCCUUGGGUUAUGCCAGGGAAGGUCAUCGGGCUAUGCCGGAGGUUAUGCCGGAAAGGUCCUCGGGUUAUGCCGGGGAAGGUCAUCGGGUAAUGCUAGAAAGAUCCUCGGGUUAUGCCGGGGAAGGUCAUCGGGUUAUGCCGGAAAGUUCCUCGGGUUAUGCCGUGGAAGGUCAUCGGGUUACGCCGAAAAGGUCCUCGGGUUAUGCCGGGGAUCAACUAAGGAGUGAGACCCUAUACUGGAAAAGUCUACCAGGUUAUGCUGGCAGCGACUAGGGAAUAGGACCCUAUGUUGGAAAAUAUAGCUAGAGAUUGGAGGCCCUAUGCUACAAUAUUUUUUUUUUCACAUUAAAAAAGUGAGUAAAAAUGCAGGAAAGAAUUUGGAGGAGACUUCCCUUUUGGAUUGCUUAUUGCCGCAAAGCUGUUUCUAGCCCUUGCGUAGUUUUUUUUUUGGUUGCACCUGCUUCUUGCAAGGUUGCUUUGGAUUACACCUGUUUCCUGUUUUCAAACAAAGAAUAAUUGUUAGUUUGAAACGGUGGCUGGUUUUGUGGCCUUGAUUGUUUCAAUCACUUGAUCUCGACCUGGCUUCUUUGAUGAAGAUCACAACUGCGACUGCUUGUUCCCUGAGGACCGAUUUCAUUUCUGACCCUGGAGAACCUCUAGCUUUUCUAGACUUUGCCAUGACUGUUGGUCACGUGGAACUCAACCUUUUCGACUUUAUUUUGCCUUUGUAGACCUUUCACUUCUAACUCUUUUUUUUAAAUUUUAACUUCGGAGCAUUAGGGAACUUUUUGGCUCCUCAAACUUGCUGCAACGGCAAGUCGCGUGGGAUUUAAACUUUUCCAAUUUUGUUUCGCCUUCGUAGGCCUUUCAUUUCUAUCUUCUUUCUUCCAACUCAAUUUCAGAGCAUUUGGGGUACCUUGGCUUUUUCAAAUUUUUGCCGAGGCGAUUUUCCAUGUGGGACUCAACCUUUUCAACUUCAUUUUCUUUUAUAGGCACUUCUAUUUGAUUUUCUCCUUCCAACAGUUUUGAUUUCGAAGCAUCUGCCGCCAUGGCCAGUCGAGGUUGACUUGAUGCCCCUAACGAGGCUAGGUGCCUUAUUGAACAUUAGCUCGUGUCAAAUGAGAACCCUGUAAAUCAGUCUUGCCAUCCCUUCUUUGUCUCAGUUUUGGAAUAGAGUUAGACCGAAAGGUAUUCAAAGGAAAAACAAACAAUGGAAUGGAUAAAUGAAUUUAGACAAGAGGUAUCCCUUUCGGGGAAAGGAAAGAAGGACUUAUCUGGAGUACAUGCGGACUUUAAUGAACAUGACUUGCCUUUUGGACUGGAUGCCUGAUCCGUGCAAACCGUCCGACUCUCAGAAAUUCAUCACGACCUUUACCUCGAAACUGAGAAACCUUACCUAGGACUACAUCAAUGUCAGUGACUGAAGAUCCUGUUUUUCGAUCAGUGGUGCCCUUUGUGGGUUUUCACGAGCUGACCUUUCUCAUUUAUUUUCUCACCAUCGCCUUGUAGUGCUCUUUGCGAGUUUUCACUAACAAGACUCUCUCAUUUUAGUUUCUCUAUUUACCAUCGUCUUACGGUGCCCGUGGGGGGUUUUCACCAAUAAGACUCUCUCAUUUUAUUUUUCUCAUUUUUAUGUGUCAGAUCCAAGUAACUGUAUCCUCCCAUUUUGAACCUCUUUGUUGAUUGAUCAGAAGGGCUUGAACGGGGUUUUGAGGUAAAAGUUUUUGGAUUGAAUUACAACCUUGGAACCUUUGAGGCGAAACCAUCGCCGAACCAUUAUAACUUCUGCCUCAGUUUCACCUUUUGGUGGAAUUUGGAUUUUUAUUUUGGUGUGACUGAACCCCAGAGAGAGGUUGUCUACCUAUCGGAAUCAAGUCGAACGUAGUUCAGGAAACUUUAUUUUUUGAUUUUCUUUUGUUUUUUCUGUUUUCUUUUGUUUUUUUUUCUUUUUUCCUUUCCUUUCCCCUUUUUUUCAUUUUUCAUUUCAUUUUCUUUGUUUUUUCUUCCCCCCUUUUUUGUAUCUUUUUUUUUCCGCUUUUCAUUUUUUUUUCAUUUUUCUUUCAUUUUUUCAAUUUUUUUUCAAUAACACUUUCAUGUUCCAAAGAGGGUAAUCAAAGAAGAGUAACCGACUCAAAUAUUUUACAAAAGGGUUAAUAGUGUUCGGGUAGAGAGAAUGAAAGCCUUCAUCAUCCCAACCAGAGAAUAUUAAUACUAUAUGGAGGAUCAAAUAUAGUACCUUUUGACUGCAUAUGCAUUGACGGGUGUUUCAGGACAUUUCCUUCGAUGUUUUCUAGGUAGAAUACUCUCUUUGGCAGUACCGUUAUUACCAUGUAUGGAUAUUUCCAAUCUGGAGCCAAUUUUCCUUUAGCUGCUCCAACUCUUUAUUUUAUUUCCUUAAACUUAUCUUCAUUGUGAUGUAAUUCUUGAUUCAUUAUAUCGAGAACCGACAGCGUUUUAAGAUCUGGGCAUGAAGUCCACAAUCAUGUCAAGUUAUUGAAAUCUGCAUUAACAAAACUGAAAAGAGAAUAAGAAAAAUGACAAGAUUAAGAAAAGAGACAUUCUUGGACAAUGAAAUAUUAAUUUCAUUUGAUUUUUUUUGGAUUUUUGAAUUUUAAAGAUAGAAGGGUUUACAUCGUAAAGUAAGACAAUAAAUUAAAACAUCCGGAUCACACCAUGAGAUAAUCCGAACAUAGAAAGGAUAGCAAGACUGACUACCGAUAAUCCCUUCUGAUGGGGAACUUUCAGGCUUGACGGUCAUUUUUCGGCUUUUGUUCUAUCUCGGCAAUGGCUGCAAUGGCCUUCAGUGCCAGAUCAAAUUCGUCAUAUUCAUAAAUCAUUCCGACUAUUGUCCCGAUGUUGUGGGCAGGCAACAGAUUUUUCAUCACAUCAAGAGCUUCUUUAUCCUGAAAAACAAUUCUUUCAGCUUCAAUCAAGUCUUCAGCUGCACUUUUAAGUGUCCAACAGUCCUCCGUACUGUGUCCUACUCCAAAGUGGUAUUCACAUCUAGCAUCAGCUCGGUGCAGAGGGGACUCGGAGUUUGGUCGGUUCGGGGCCACUGGCUGCAAUAGAUCUAGCCUGAUUAGCUUUUGGAACAAGCUUGAAUACGAUACACCAAUAGGGUUGAACUGAUUUUUUCUGAAAGGCUCUCUUGGGCAGGGAUUGUACUAGGGAAUAUUUGGUUGGGAUUUAUAUGGAGCUUGGUAAGGAUGGGCAUUUAUGGGAGGUAGAACUCGAUUUUGUGUAUGAUGUUGCGACCGCGUGUAAGGCUGCACAUUCAUCACCGCAUAAGGAGGUGGUGCCACGGUAUAAGCAGCAUCUUGAAGGGGAUAAUAAUGUUGAGGGACCUUAGGAAGCAUAUAUGAUUGGUUGAAUGACCUGUGGGCCCCCCUCGAGCUGGAAGCCAUCAUGGCUCCUUCUCUCUCAUUUCCAUAACCCUUUGAACCAAUUUGAACAUCUGGUGAUGUGGCUUUAAAAGCAGCAUGACUCAAGAUUCAACCCAUUUUAGCUCACUUUCUACCAUCUCCCCAAUUUUGAUAGCCUUAACAAAUGGCUUUUCCAUAGCGGACAUCAUGUUCUGGAAGUAGUAUGCCUCUUGGGCCUAUAGAAAGAUAGUGACCAUUUCAAUUUCGUCCAUUGGAGGCUUUAACCUGACAGCUUGCUCACACCAUUUGGCAGCAUAUUCGCGGAAGCUUUCCGCUAUUUUCCUUUUCAAAUUGGAAAAAGAGUUUCUAUCAGGAGCGAUGUCCACAUUAUACUGGAACUCGCGGACAAAAUCUUUGGCCAUAUCGUCCCACACAUGACAAUGGGUAAUUUCUUGAUCCGUAUACCACUCAUAAGCGACUCCGAUGAGGCUUUCCCCAAAAUAGGCCAUUAGCAUCUCCUCUUUUCCACUAGUGCCUCUCAACUGGUUACAGUAUCAUUUCAGGUGAGCGACCGGGACUUUGUGCCCAUCGUACUUUUCAAAUUUUAGCAUCUUGAGGCCAACUGGCAAGUGGACAUGGGGAAACAUACAGAGGUCAGAGUAUGAGACACUCUUUUGGCCACUCAGACCUUGCAUGUUUUUCAGGCUUUGUUCCAGGCUAUUCAUCUUUCGAGCCAUUUCCUCUUGCUCAGGAUUUUUAACAACCUUUUCUUGCUCUAUCGAGAGAUCAUAUUGCGGAGGUUGAGUGAAAGAGUAUGGGGUCACAUAUGCUAUUUUUGAUUGAAGUUGUAGACUCUGAAAGGUGAACAUUGGAGGCUCAACAUAUCGUCGUGGUANNNNNNNNNNNNNNNNNNNNNNNCGUGGUAAAAUUGGUUGUGCUCUGGUGCAGACUGGUGCUGUAGAGAACAAUAUUGGAGGGUGCCCAGGAAACUGGCGGCCUGGGGGCGGAACCACAGAAAGGCAUGCCAGGAUCAUUGAACAACAUUAGAGGGUGCUCGUAUAGGAUAAGCGAGUUGGGCACAGGGGCAUUGGUAACCUCACCUGACCUGGGGAUCAACUCAGGGAACCCACGGAUUGCACUUGGCGGUUCUCUACCAUUAGACCAGGUGUCCCACAUUUCCAAUAUGCGGAGAUGCAACAUCCUAUUGUCUUCAGCAGUUGCUGAUUCUAGUUGUGGAAUAGCCGAUGCUGGGCUAUCCUCAGGAUCGCUGAUUCGUAGAUGGCUUUCAUAAGCCAUAGUAACCUUUUCUUUGUAGCUCGUGAAGUAUGGAUGGGCUAGACUACCAACAAAACCAAUCACCUGAACAGAACCUGGCUAAUUUGCACACGCAACAACCUUGUUAGUUUUGAGACGCUUAACAAAUAGGAAAUCGCGUAUUGGGAUGCAAUUCACCUAAACAGCUAAACGUUUAAGCUAUGUGUUUGAACGAGUUGCAUGUUUCAUCCCGGCCUUAAUUAACCUUUUAUUUCAAUCUACACAUCUUCUCUUCAUUUUUGCUUCUCUCUAAUCAAUCUUGAUUUUUUCAUCUCGUUUUACCGCUCUUUUAUUUUUGGGACACUCUUUUCUUUCUUUCUUUUUCACUCUUUUAUUUAAUUUUAUGGCUAUGAUCGAAUCCGAUGGGAUUGCUUACGUAUCAUGACGCCGCAUGAAUCAGAUCUUGCGUAGUUCGGAAAGAUUGAGAAUGGAGUAAAUAAGCUAACUUUUUUUGUUUACUUUUAUAAAACUCAAAUCGAGAAAGCUUUAAGAAAAAGAAAAACAUAUAUUUUUUAAUUUUUCUGUUUUGUUGUUUUUGUGUUUAUUGGAAUUUUCGAAAGAAAUGCUUUAAAAGAAGAAAGGAAAUAAUUUUGUUUUUGGAUUUUUGAUUUUGAUUUUAUUUUUAUUUUUUAAAAGAAGGACUUCUAAAAAUUCUUUUUCUUUUGAUUUAAACUUUGAGAAUUUCAAAAGUAAAAGGAAAAUAUUUUUGUUUGAAUUUUCAUUUGUUUUAUCUUUUUUUAAAGAAAAAAGAAAAAUAUUUUUUUUUUGAUUUUGGAUGUUGCCUCUUAAUUUUCGAAAGAGAGACUUUUGAAAAAAAUAUUUUGGAUUUCUGAGUUUUUUGUUUUUAAAUUUACGAAAGUAUUUCUAAAGAAUAACGAAAAUAUUUUUGGACUUCAAUUUCUUUUUAAAAUUUUUUUUUGAAAGAAAGACUUUUAAACAAGGAAUUUUUUUUUAUCCUUUGUUUUUUUAAAUUUUUGGGAAAAAACUUCUUAAAAAGUAGAAAAAUAUUUUUUUUUUGAAUUUUGAUUUGACUUGUGGAUUUUCGAGAGAAGAUCUUUUAAGAAAACAUUUCUGAUUUCUGAGUUUCUCUUUUUUUUUCUUUUUUAAUUUACAAAAGUACUUUUAAAGAAAAGCGAAAAUAUUUUUGGACUUUUAUUUCUUAAUUUUUUAUGGACAUUUAUAAAAGAAAGACGUCUAAAGAAGAAAAGAAUAUUUUUGGAUUUUUGUUUUUGAAUUUUUUUUGGGGGAAAAUACUUCAAAAUGAAGGAAGCCCGUAUUUUGAAUUUUGAUUUUUUUUAUUUCUUUUUUCCGUGUGAAAGACUUCAGAAAGAAAGAAAACUACUUUUUUUUGAAUUUUUAAAAAACUUCCUCUUUUUUCUUUCUUUUUUUGAAUUUUCUAAGGAAAGAUUUCUAAAGAAAGAACUAAAGGAAAAUAUUUUUGGAUUUUUGAAAAUUGGGGUCGGAACCGAUGAGGUUUGCCUACGUAUCUCACAUCCGGUGAGAAUCAGACUCGCGUAGUUCUGUCAAUUUUGACGGAACAAGGGAAACAUGGCACUUGAAAAUCUUGGCUUAUUUUGAAAUGACUUUCUUUUUCUUCCUUUUUUUUCGGAAUUUCGGCAGAGUUUCAGGAUUUUCCAAAUACCUACCUCUCACUCUCUUUCUUUUUUCUUUUUUUUUUCUGAUUUUCUUUCCCUAUUCUCGAAGCCGGUCAAUAUGAAAGCCGAAACAAAAUAGAUGCGCAAGUAGCACGUAAGAUAAUUCAGAAUGGUCUUUUUAAUUUGGGUACACCUAUCCUAGACGAACCCAACCCCUAUGUUGAAUCCCUAAAGUCAGAUGCACAUGAUGCAAACAAACGUACCUACUAGGGAUCCGGCAUGAGGUUAUGUUAUUCAAGGUUUUAAAACCUAGGUGUAUUGUUCUAGACCUGGCUUACCCGAGCGGACAUCUCGAGCUGGGGGGGGGGGCAGCGUACCAGGAAUACAGAAGCUUCACCCGCUUUGCAACUUGUCCGAACUUCGUUCUAAAAUUAGGAUAUGACUCUAACAGAAAAAAAGUCACACGAAGUGCACACUUCCCAGAUGAUUUAAAAGACUUAGGGAGAAGAAGGGGUUUGUAACAGUUUAUAUACAGUUCACACAAUAUCAAAGCGCUAAAAAGUGGCAUUUAGCACAUUAGGCUUGAACACGUAAAAAUCAGAUAAUAAAUAAAACCAACUAUAACAGUUAUUCUAUGCUCGAAUUCUUGAACAGCAGAGUCGCCAGAGCUGUCACACCUCCUUUUUACCACCCGAGGGGGUAUAAAAGGAGUUUUUUCAAUUUAAGUGACAUAAAUCGAAAUGGAAUUAUUUAUUUAAUUUCAGAGUUGCCAUUUGGGAUGUUUAUUAGGAUUUCCCAAGUCACCAGUUUAUUUUAAAUCCCAAAUCGAGGAAAAUUGACUUCAUUUAAAAGUCUGUGAAACCAGAAAAACUAGGUAAAGAAUUCUGUUAACCCAAGAGAAGGUGUUAGGCAUUCUCGGGUUUCAUGGUUCUAGCACGGUCGCUUAACUAUUAAUAAUUGGCCAAAUUAUCUGAUUUGUUACACGUUUUAAAACUAUUGUGCAUUUUUAACUUUAUAACCGCUUUUAAUUUUUUUAAUCUCUUUUUAGGACUUAUGGAAUUAUUUCUUGAACAAGUUACGAUUGUCGUACACUUGCCGUUUUGGAACAUGUUGCAAAUCACGCUACAUGAAAUGCACCCACGAUUUGCGAUAUGUUUCUUUUAUUAUUGUUCGAAGUUGUUAUGAUCCGGUCACAUGAAAUGCACAUCUGGUUUGGGAUUAGGCAUCACGACCAUACCACGGUAAUCGUACCCAUAGCCAUGAUGAGUUAUUAUUAAUCACGCCUAAAGCAAGCUACGAUGUUCAUGAAUUGUUCAUUUCCUAAAUUUGGGAUUAAUGCAAGGUCUUUGCAUAUGGGUAGAUGUAGUAGUAUAAGGCUGAAAACUUAACUUUCUAAAUAUUCAACAUUUGCUCUUGUAUACAGAUGUGAGGAAACUAUGCCAUUUGAAGUGGGGAAACCUGUAUUCGUGUAACUUUGAUUCACAGGGAAGUUACAAGAUUGCUUGAUGUUUGUGAGGAACAAACCACCUUCUUCUCGUAUAUUAAUGUAAAGAAAAGAACAAACACAAACUAUUUUAAAACUACAGACACGCUUAUCUGAGUCCAGAAUUGCAACCAAAUAGACCAGCUAAAUGGGCUUUCCUGCAUCACUGUAACAAAGCCCAUUGGAGUUACUUAAGGUCGAGUCCAAAUUCUAUGGACUCUGAAAGAACACUCUAAUAACUAUGCUAUGUCUAGCAAUUGUUAAAAGAAAAUUCUUACAAAAUAAUUAAAUACAACCUUAAUAUCAAACCCAAUUAAUCAUGGCUUAGAAAAAAAAUAUCAGUGGCCAUUUUAAUUUUGACAACAAUCAAAUGCUCUCAAAAUCAACUUAUUGAUGAAGGUAACUACUAAACUAUUAGCAUUGACAAUAAACCUAAAACAACGGCCAUGUAUGCUUCAACACUAGACAUAGCUUAGCCAUCAUUCAGGCAAAACCUGUACAAUUUUGAAGCUCAUACUUAAACCAUUUAUUAUAUGAGAAUAUCUAUGAUUAGAAGUAAUAAAUAACAUGUUGGUCAAGCCAUUAAAACUGCAACUCAAACCAACUUGUUGCCAGAUCCACAGUUAUUGACCCUCAAAUCCAACAUUAGACUUUAAUUUAUCAUAAGCCAUGAAAAAAAAGACUCGAACUUCAAGAAUUAAUAUUCAAACUAGGCAACAUAUGAUUAUGUACAAUACACAUGUUAAAUUCUAGUGGAAAUAGGUGAAAUGCAAAACAUUCUAAUCGUACAUCACUGCUAAAGCACAUUCCCGCUAUAACCAAACUUCAUGUAAUUGCUAUGUCAAAACCAAACAUUCAAGUUAUGUUCAAAAAAGAACCAACAAAUAGCAGGCUUAACAAACUACAACAGAUAGUUCAUAUUUCAAUACAAAUCAAAAUAGAAUACAAGUGAUAAAUGUGUACCUAAGCUCGAAAAUGAAUCUGAGCCUUUGCCAAAUAAAGAUCAAAGAAAUCAACUACUAAAUUUGCUCACAACAGGUCAGCAGCAGAAGAUAGGAUGACAGCUUGAAUCCCAGAAUGAUGAACAGAAACAACAGCAACAAUUAGAACAGCAACAAAACCCCAGAAUUUUGACUAAAACCAACUUUAAAUGGCAGGGAUCAUGAACUAGAAAACCAUGGAGCUAUUUCUGUUUUCAGAUUCACUAGGAAAACUCAGAAAAAGGAAGAAAAAUCAGUAUGAAAAUCAAACUUUUUUCCAGAAUUCCUUAGUGUUUCAAAAAUGCCUUUUUAAAAUUGCCUAAUUCUGAUGAUUGUCUGUUUUGAGUGAGUGAGGGCCUAUUCUUUAUAUAGAAUGCACAAAGAUAGCAUAAAAAGGAAUAUUUUAUCUAAGGAUGGGGACAACUGUGCAAAAUCUAGAACCGUCUGAUAUUUUAUCUAGGCUUUGGCCAUUCUUACCUUCAUAUUAU